CAUUAAAUCAAUAGCUUCACUCAUAUAAUCGCGGGGAUAUGGCCUGCAAGUUUCUACCGGAUUACCGUAAAUGAUCCGACUAUGAGUGAGCAAUGCAGGGGU
Molecule: non-coding RNA, 102 nt
Filed under: Mesobacillus selenatarsenatis
Lineage: Bacteria; Bacillati; Bacillota; Bacilli; Caryophanales; Bacillaceae
Also listed under: 1 other name
Description: Bacillus selenatarsenatis Guanine sequence
Rfam family: Purine riboswitch aptamer
About the family: Riboswitches are metabolite binding domains within certain messenger RNAs that serve as precision sensors for their corresponding targets. Allosteric rearrangement of mRNA structure is mediated by ligand binding, and this results in modulation of gene expression. A class of riboswitches that selectively recognises guanine and becomes saturated at concentrations as low as 5 nM.
Source: RNAcentral